This 496-nucleotide ribosomal RNA is filed under the name uncultured bacterium. RNAcentral describes it as "bacterial SSU rRNA". It matches the Rfam family "Bacterial small subunit ribosomal RNA", at positions 29 to 516 of the family's 1533-position model. The record is from RNAcentral.
AGUGAACGCUGGCGGCAGGCCUAAUACAUGCAAGUCGAACGGCAGCACAGUGGAGCUUGCUCCAUGGGUGGCGAGUGGCGGACGGGUGAGGAAUACAUGGGAAUCUGCCCAGUCGUGGGGGAUAACGUAUGGAAACGUACGCUAAUACCGCAUGCGCCCUUCGGGGGAAAGUCGGGGACCGCAAGGCCUGACGCGAUUGGAUGAGCCCAUGUUCGAUUAGCUAGUUGGCGGGUAACGGCCCACCAAGGCGACGAUCGAUAGCUGGUCUGAGAGGAUGAUCAGCCACACUGGAACUGAGACACGGUCCAGACUCCUACGGGAGGCAGCAGUAGGGAAUACUGGACAAUGGGCGCAAGCCUGAUCCAGCCAUGCCGCGUGAGUGAAGAAGGCCCUCGGGUUGUAAAGCUCUUUUGUUGGGGUAAGAAAAGCAGUUGGUUAAUACCGAUUGUUCUGACGGUACCCAAGAAUAAGCACGGCUAACUUCGUGCCAGCAGCC